GUGCGUAACACGUGAGAAUCUACCCAUAGCUUAUGGUUAAAUGCCAUAGAAUCUUAUAGAUUUAGAUAUAUAUCGGUUAUGGAUGAGCUUGCGGGGUAUUAGGUAGUUGGUGUGGUAAUGGCGCACCAAGCCCAAGAUGCCUAGCCGGUUUGAGAGAACGAUCGGCCACACUGGGACUGAGACACGGCCCAGACGCUUACGAGCGGCAGCAGUGGGGAAUAUUGGACAAUGGGCGAAAGCCUGAUCCAGUGAUAUCGCUUUGGGGAUGACGGCGACAUACGUUGUAAACCCAAUGAAGUACGUUUAGAUUAU
Molecule: ribosomal RNA, 312 nt
Filed under: uncultured Alphaproteobacteria bacterium
Lineage: Bacteria; Pseudomonadati; Pseudomonadota; Alphaproteobacteria
Description: bacterial SSU rRNA
Rfam family: Bacterial small subunit ribosomal RNA
Source: RNAcentral